Molecule: long non-coding RNA, 390 nt
Filed under: Physcomitrium patens
Lineage: Eukaryota; Viridiplantae; Streptophyta; Bryopsida; Funariales; Funariaceae
Description: long non-coding RNA (PPAT_LNC014510)
Source: RNAcentral
AAAUCUUAAAAACCCUUACUAGACCUAAAAUUCUACUUUCUAAGACCUUAACCCGCUUAAACCUCAAUAUCUCUCACUUUAACCGUUAGAUCGAGCUCAAAUUUAUAAGAUGUAUUUAACACAACUAUAACCAUAAACCCCAAAAAUUUUACCUAUAGAUCUGCUACAAAACUCUCGAAAUCACUCAAAACAUAAAUUCUAUUUUAUUUCAUAAAACCCAAGUCAUCCGAAACAAACCUCCACUUUGCAAAGCUCUUACAAAAUCAUAUCAACUUCAAAUCACCCAAAAUCAAUGCCCAUAGAAACCCUAUCUAGUCUGCUAUCAAACCUCACUCUCCAAUCUCCAAAAGAACCCCAGAGUCGUCAUCGAGACUCGGUUUUGUGCCUUAG